This 213-nucleotide ribosomal RNA is filed under the name uncultured bacterium. RNAcentral's name for it is "partial 16S ribosomal RNA". It matches the Rfam family "Bacterial small subunit ribosomal RNA", at positions 29 to 266 of the family's 1533-position model. The record is from RNAcentral.
AACGAACGCUGGCGGCAGGCCUAACACAUGCAAGUCGAACGCUCGUAGCAAUACGGGAGCGGCAGACGGGUGAGUAACACGUGGGAACGUGCCCUUUGGUUCGGAACAACUCCGGGAAACUGGAGCUAAUACCGGAUAAGCCCUUACGGGGAAAGAUUUAUCGCCAAAGGAUCGGCCCGCGUCUGAUUAGCUAGUUGGCGGGGUAAGUGGCCC